AAAUAAAAUUACACAUUUUAUGUGUAAAUAAAAAUAACUAAAUUGACAAGUUCUGUUUUAUAAAAAUAUUUGUCAAAGAGAGGUUCUCUGAGUGAAG
Molecule: long non-coding RNA, 97 nt
Organism: Herpailurus yagouaroundi (jaguarundi)
Lineage: Eukaryota; Metazoa; Chordata; Mammalia; Carnivora; Felidae
Exons: 3
Source: RefSeq, a predicted model, not a curated record